RNAcentral lists this ribosomal RNA (698 nucleotides) under Microbacterium arborescens. RNAcentral's name for it is "bacterial SSU rRNA". It matches the Rfam family "Bacterial small subunit ribosomal RNA", at positions 282 to 990 of the family's 1533-position model. The record is from RNAcentral. Lineage: Bacteria; Bacillati; Actinomycetota; Actinomycetes; Micrococcales; Microbacteriaceae.
GGUAGCCGGCCUGAGAGGGUGACCGGCCACACUGGGACUGAGACACGGCCCAGACUCCUACGGGAGGCAGCAGUGGGGAAUAUUGCACAAUGGGCGCAAGCCUGAUGCAGCAACGCCGCGUGAGGGAUGACGGCCUUCGGGUUGUAAACCUCUUUUAGCAGGGAAGAAGCGAAAGUGACGGUACCUGCAGAAAAAGCGCCGGCUAACUACGUGCCAGCAGCCGCGGUAAUACGUAGGGCGCAAGCGUUAUCCGGAAUUAUUGGGCGUAAAGAGCUCGUAGGCGGUCUGUCGCGUCUGCUGUGAAAACCCGAGGCUCAACCUCGGGCCUGCAGUGGGUACGGGCAGACUAGAGUGCGGUAGGGGAGAUUGGAAUUCCUGGUGUAGCGGUGGAAUGCGCAGAUAUCAGGAGGAACACCGAUGGCGAAGGCAGAUCUCUGGGCCGUAACUGACGCUGAGGAGCGAAAGGGUGGGGAGCAAACAGGCUUAGAUACCCUGGUAGUCCACCCCGUAAACGUUGGGAACUAGUUGUGGGGUCCAUUCCACGGAUUCCGUGACGCAGCUAACGCAUUAAGUUCCCCGCCUGGGGAGUACGGCCGCAAGGCUAAAACUCAAAGGAAUUGACGGGGACCCGCACAAGCGGCGGAGCAUGCGGAUUAAUUCGAUGCAACGCGAAGAACCUUACCAAGGCUUGACAUAUA